Molecule: long non-coding RNA, 504 nt
Filed under: Chinchilla lanigera (long-tailed chinchilla)
Lineage: Eukaryota; Metazoa; Chordata; Mammalia; Rodentia; Chinchillidae
Description: lncRNA (ENSCLAG00000024398.1)
Source: RNAcentral
AUGUCCGUAAAGGAGCUGGGGAUGGAGAUAAGGAGCAGAGCGCCUCGGGCGCUCUCCCCAGUGCUGAACACACAGACGUGUGACUGCCCCAAGUCGUCACCUUUCACUCACGCCCACGGCAAGCGGUGGAAAGGGCCCGGAAUUUCUCGGAGCUGCAGGUCCAGUAGAAAUAGUGCUGACGGAGGGUGCGACACGUGGCCAGGAGACCCCCGCCUGAGACUUCGCCGUCAGCUGUCAGAAGCCACAGAGUCCGCGCUCACGCUCGCUGGCUCCGCCGUGCCGGCCCGCGGGCCUGGAAGGAGAGGCUGAGGAGGACGCGGAGCCCUGAGUCCUGCAGAGGAGGAAAAGAAAGAGAACGUCAAGGAUGAAGAUGAACUCCGCUGCACUCCAAGUCCUGUGCCAAUUUGUACAACAAACAUCAAUGCUUCAUUUGGACGCAAAUGAGAGAGGGAAAAAAAAAAAAAAAACGACAAGCGUGGAAAGACGUCAGAGAGGACCAAAGAG